UCUCCUGUAGCGUCAGGACCUGGAGAGCUUGAACACACCACUUGGUCGGAACGCCUUGCACACAGUCUGUCUUUGCUGCACCAACGGGGCCAGCAGCACCCCCUACGCUUGCCAAGGCUGAGGCGGCAGGUUGGAUUCGACCUGUGGGCCGCGGUUUGCCAGCCCUGAUCUACAGAGGAUACGGACAGCUCGGCAUGUCCUAAGAGACCUCUCCAGCCCUCCCCACUCUCUCGCCCUGGGAGAUCUCCGCCCCAUGGCCUCCUGGAAGCUGAUGCUCCCAGAUCCGCGCCUCCAGCUGGACCUCUGCAGAGCUCGAGGCUCUGGACUCCGGCGGACUCCACGCCCAAAAGUCGCAUCAGCUGCUCCUGCUGAGCGUGUCCACGCCUCAGCUCAUCGUCUCUCUUCCCUCAUCCCUCUCUGUAAGGUAGCAUCUCAGGUGCACGUGUUUUUGGAGCAUCCUCCCAGUUCACAACAACCCUCUUAAUCACAGCCACCUGUCCACCUCCAGCCAUCUUACCCCCUCCCCUCCCUUGGUGCUGGGUCAGUUCCCGUGGUUCAGCAGGACACCUCCGCCCAGGUGAGCAUCAGGCAGCUGGCCAUUCAGUCUCUUCCCUGGGAAUUUGGAACCAGGUGGUGCUGGUGUUUCUUCAGGUGAAUUGGCCUGUUCUCCGUGGGUGGGAGCUAUGGGAGAGGCAUUUUCCACCACGCUGGGGCCUAGAGAAGUGGCGGGAGUUGGUCUGAGGAGAGCUGUGCAGGCAGGAUCAAAGGUGAGAAGGCUGAGGCUGAGGCCGAGGCCGUGUGCCCAUUGUACAGAUGCUGAAGGAGACUCCAAGGGAAGAACGAUGUGGUCCCCAGGUCAGUAAUCCAGGCUUUUCGGCCUUGACCCUCCUUCCCUCAGGUUCAUCCCGUGCCCCUGAGCUUUUGCUCUCUGCAAGCAGGAGGGUCCCCCGAAUCAUCUGAAAGCCUGUCAUGCUUUGCUGCCCCUUCCCCAAUGCACUCCUGACAAAGGGGUUGAGAGCAGGGAGGGCGGGACCGACCUGCUGAG
Molecule: non-coding RNA, 1045 nt
Organism: Kogia breviceps (pygmy sperm whale)
Lineage: Eukaryota; Metazoa; Chordata; Mammalia; Artiodactyla; Physeteridae
Source: RefSeq, a predicted model, not a curated record